RNAcentral lists this ribosomal RNA (631 nucleotides) under Margalefidinium polykrikoides. RNAcentral describes it as "LSU rRNA". It matches the Rfam family "Eukaryotic large subunit ribosomal RNA", at positions 115 to 645 of the family's 3401-position model. Lineage: Eukaryota; Dinophyceae; Gymnodiniales; Gymnodiniaceae. The record is from RNAcentral.
UGGAUAUCGGGGCCUGUGGCUCCGAAUUGUAGUCUCGAAAUGCAAUGCCAUCGGGGGCGCAGAUUUAAGCCUCUUGGAAGAGAGCGCCGGCGAGGGUGAGAGUCCCGUUCGUCAAUUUGCAGUCCUCCGUACACGGCUUGCACUUGUUGAGUCACGUUCCUCGGGAUUGGAGCGCAAAUAGGGUGGUAAAUUUCAUCUAAAGCUAAAUAUAUGUUUGAGACCGAUAGCACACAAGUACCAUGAGGGAAAGAUGAAAAGGACUUUGAAAAGAGAGUUAAAAGUGCCUGAAAUUGCUGCAAGGGAAGCGGAUGGAACCAGUCCACGCGGUGAGAUUGUUGGGCGGAGGCGUGCGGGGUUGCACUUUCAACGAAAGUGGGGGUGUGAGUCUCAAUCGCCUUUCGCCUGAUGGUUCUUGCCGUGGGGGUCAUUGGUGAUUGGCAGCCGGGGAAACCUUCAAAGGCAUGGUAGCCCGUCUCCGGAUGGGUGAACGCGUUUGAUAGCACUCGGCCGCUGAUCAUAUCCGAGGUGUCCGGUAACUGGCGGCCUUGAGCGCAACGCGAGAACCAAUCGGUUCUUGCUGCGCGUUCGGCCGUAGGUCCUGACACACAUCUACGACCAAAUGGUUCUUUCC